CUACGGGUGGCAGCAGUGGGGGAUAUUGCACAAUGGGCGAAAGCCUGAUGCAGCAACGCCGCGUGAAGGAAGACGGUUUUCGGAUUGUAAACUUCUAUCAGCAGGGAAGAAAAUGACUGUACCUGACUAAGAAGCCCCGGCUAACUACGUGCCAGCAGCCGCGGUAAUAGGUAGGGGGCAAGCGUUAUCCGGAUUUACUGGGUGUAAAGGGUACGUAGGCGGUUUAUUAAGUCAGAUGUGAAAGCCCGGAGCUCAACUCCGGGACUGCAUUUGAAACUGGUGAACUAGAGUACAGGAGAGGAAAGUGGAAUUCCUAGUGUAGCGGUGAAAUGCGUAGAUAUUAGGAAGAACACCAGUGGCGAAGGCGGCUUUCUGGACUGUAACUGACGCUGAGGUACGAAAGCGUGGGGAGCGAACAGGAUUAGAUACCCGUGUAGUC
RNAcentral lists this ribosomal RNA (439 nucleotides) under uncultured bacterium. RNAcentral's name for it is "partial 16S ribosomal RNA". It matches the Rfam family "Bacterial small subunit ribosomal RNA", at positions 339 to 795 of the family's 1533-position model. The record is from RNAcentral.